UCCCUGGGCUCCCGCUGCUG
Molecule: unclassified non-coding RNA, 20 nt
Filed under: Mus musculus (house mouse)
Lineage: Eukaryota; Metazoa; Chordata; Mammalia; Rodentia; Muridae
Description: oocyte_clustered_small_RNA8923
Source: RNAcentral